UCUCGAUCUCCUGACCUCGUGAUCCGCCCGUCUCGGCCUCCCAAAGUGCUGGGAUUACAGGCCUGAGCCACCGCGCCCGGCCUGGAUGAGCAUUCUUAUGAAGGCCCAUUGUCCCGUAUUCCAGAUUAUUCUUGUGUCUGGCCAGGUAGGAAAGCAAUUUCUUGAUGUAAGGCUAGAGGUGUUUUUAAGGGCUUGCAUAAAGAUUUGAAUAUGAUGUUGUCUACUAGACCAAAAAUCAAAUUGGCCAAAACAUUUUUGUUUGGGUGGUUUUUGGAAGAGUAAGUCCACGAAUGCUGUGCGGCUCUGGAGCCAUCUGAAGAUUCCAGCAAGCCCAUCGGUCUCUAUCUCUCCUGCUUACACAAAAGGAUUGAUUUCAGCUCUAGCACAUGGUGACUUGUGCUGUGUUCAUCAUCUCUUGGUAGGUGUCUGACAGGAGAUGGGCUCGGGCUGUGCAGGGAGGAGCCGUGCGGUGCACCACCUAUCUCCGCAGGCAUAACUGUUUUGUCUUCAUGGUGAAAUAAUAGCGAUGGUGGUGAUGAGGAGGAAGCUCCUGUGUAAUGACACGUUGGUGAUCACAUUAGGGCUCUGUGUCCACUCUGGGAGGUGGUGACAAUGACGUCGCGUUUGCACAUCAGGACACCGAGCCUCAGAGAGGUUGAGUCCCAGGGCGAAGGCCACGCAGUGAGUGCCACAGGUACCAUGACUACCUAACAAAUGACUCUGGAGCUCAGUGAUGUGAUGACAACCAUUUUGUUCUGUCUGGAUGCUGUGAGUCAGGAAUUUGGGCAGAGCCGGGCUGGGCAAACCUUCUGCUCUAAAUGGCCACUGAUGAGUCUUCCAAGCUGGUGGGUGGGCCGAUCUGGAGGGACUGAGAUGGACUCACUCACACAUUUCCUGCACAGUGGGGAGAGCUGGAAGGGGGGGCUCCCCUCUCCAGCAUGUGGUCUCAGGGCAGUUGGACUCCUUUGAUGGCAGCUGGCUUUCCCGUCCCCAGAUAACCAAGUGGAAGCUGCUUGGCCCUUCCUGACCCCUUGGACACCUCAGCAUCAAUUGUGUCACCUUCAUUUAGUUCAAGCGAGUCACAGGCUGGCCCAGGUUGAAGGGCAGUUGGACUCAACCUUUACAUGUGGGAAGGGCCAAGUUACAUGGUAGAAAAGCAGAUGGAAUAGGAGACAGUGCCCUGGCCCUCCCUGGGAAACACUGUGUGCCACAGACAGCCUGGGCAGAGCCAAGACCUCCCCUGGGCUCUGUCUGACCUUGGAGCCACUGCCCCACUCCUGAGCAACACCCUCUUGUAUCCCUGAACAGUCACAGGAAGCACAGGUCCUUCUCGCCCUGCCAUUUCCCUGUUCACAAAUAGCGAAAGCAUCCCAUACUUUUGCUCAUUUAAACACAGAGGGAAGGAGGUGAGUGAAAGCUUUUUUUAGGGGUAGAUUAGAUGUGAGGCAGACCAGCAGCCCUGGGUGUGCACCGGGUGGAAAUUAUUCUUACACACAGGGUUGGGUGGGGAUGCAGCCUGCCACUGCCCCUCUGGCCGUCCCCCUCCACAGGAGGCUUGCAGAUGCCCACAUCAGCCAACGGCCCUAGGUGGGCCCACAUGGCCCUCGGUGGGGAUGCGCUUGCCUCCUUGCCAGGGCCACUGCGGUAGGGAGUACUGCAGAGUGGAAACAGGUGAGCUGGGCUGAGUUUUCUGCUUGGCUAAUUCAGUGUGGCUUGACUCCAAGAAGGACACACUGACCUCCCCAUCGUCUUGUUUGUUCAGCCUUGCAGAAGCAGUUUUAUGAAAAACCAUUACAGCCCCGGUGGUCUGGGCCCAGACCCGGUGCACACCACGUGCCCGCACUGGGGGGUGGGGACCAUUCUCGGUGAAUAUGAUGGAGGCACAGGAAGCCGCCCUCCCAUUCAGGGAGAGCUCACCUUGUGUCUGCCCCUGGGGUGGGGUGGGGUGGGCAGUUUCCAGCCUUUGCCCAUGGGCUAGAGCUGCUGGAGGUCUUCCUGAGCUGAGGAGGCAGAGCUGGGCUGGCUGGGGCUGGGGGAUGCCAGGGAUACUUCCUGCGACUCCUGACGCUGCUCCUUCCUCUUUGGGGAUCCGUCUCCCACACUGUCCCUGCUGCCUUUACAUCUUCAGGGUGGAGAGGGACUCUGGCCACCCUGGGGCCAACCAUCCUGUGUCACUGCUGGUGUGUGUGACCUGUGGUGGGCCCUCCCUCAACUCUGUAUCUCCAGUUCUAAGCCAGAGACAAGAAUAUCCUCUGGGAGAUCUGUUCAAGGGUGGAUGGAGCUGAGGCGUUAGGUGUGUCUCAUGCUCAGGAAUGGUCCCGCACCUGCUCUUCUUUAGGAUGAGCAGUGGGACUGUGGGCAGAGGGAGCCACACGCAUCCAUCCUGGCUCUCAGCAUCCCAGGGAAAGACGUUCUGCUCCACCCUGAUCAGCCUCGCCCUUUAACCAACCAAGGGCUGCCUGCAGUGUGGCCGUGGGGAGCUGGAGCCAGGCAUGGCAGCAGCCCUUCUAGACAGUAGGCAGUAGGCAAGCCUGCUGAUCAUGGAGCCGAGAUUCUCUGUGGGACAGAACUGGUCCCCAGUAUCCCUGUGCCUUUGGGCCAAGAACUCAGUCGGCUACUUUGCUUCCAGGCUUGGGAACACUCGGAGUAGGCUGGGAGUCUCCUGGUCUCACCCUGUAAGCCCCACAUAAGCCUUGUGGACAGCACCGCUUGGCAAGUGACCCCCUCAUCAAAACCCCAAACUGGAAUGCUUCUCUGGCUACAUAGGCAUGGCCGUGUGGGGACAGUGGGAGGGCAUGUGAUAAUUCAGGGUAGCGGCUGAAAGCCUAGGGGUUAGGGCUGCUGGGUCCUUCUAAGGUGGUGCAGGGUGCACAGCCCUCUGGGCCUCAGUUUCCUCUUCUGUGAGAUGAGGACUCUAUCUUGGGGCCACAAGUGCCAGUGUUUUCUCUGGAAGAAAAGGCGACUGCUGAGGGAAGCAGCAUGCAGGUGUGAGGGCCCAGGCCCCAGACGGGAUCCCAUGAAGACCUAAGACAGUGAGCCAAGAGUGGAGAGAGGGGACCAGGGUAGACUGCGGUGGGCCCCAGGAGCCGGGAAGUGAGGAAAAUCCAGCUGUGCCCUGAGGGUUAGACUCCACUGCCAGUGUUCACAGGAUCUGGAGCUGAUGGGGACCUGCAGUGUCACCCUGAAGGGACAGAUGGCCCCCAGGCCAGCAGGAGGUGGCAGAGUCAUUUGGCAGCAACAUUUGACAAGCAGAAGGCAGUUGGUCCCUCCCGCUUCCUGUCCAGGCUCUUGGGGCUGGGACCCCACUCCCAGCCCUGUCCUCCCCAACCUCCCCACGCUUGCACAGGCUCCUCUGGGGCAGAGGAGGGUGCUGUGAUUUGUGGGUUUGGGAGAAGUUGGAAGCAUAACGGGUCAGUGCUGCAGCUGAGUCCACACUGCCUGUGCUGGGUGGAGCGGGUGAGGGCGUCCCUGGCUCUGGGGUGGUGUCACUGCUCACACUUUGUCCUGUAGCCAGGCCCUCUUCGGGGGUGAGGGUUCCACGGAGCCCUCCUUCUGCCUGGCUCUGCCGAUCCAACUCUUUUCUCUCCCUUGGGGGUUUCAAACUUAGACAGGAACGGGGUGGCAUUUAUUGGGCCCCAGACAACCUGACCAGGUCCCUCAGAGCACUGAGGCCAGGACGAGGAGGGUGGGAGGAGAUGGGAAGCGUUUCCUUUGUGCUCGCUCCCUGGCCAUCCCCAAACCUCCACAUGAACCUGGGGUGGCUGAGCAUUCAUUAUGCUUUGUCUUUGUAAAUAGGCAGCUAUAAAAACCUAUCAGCGUGCAGCACCUUCUCCAUGAAACAGGCCGGAUGGAUUUAUAACCCAGGCCCCCUCCCUGAGAGAAGCCUGCAAAGCAGGUCCCACCUCAUGCUGGCUGCCAUCACCCUCCCUGCCCCCGCCCCACCUCAUGCAAGCAGCAGAAGGGAAAGCACGUUGAGUUGUGUGUUUUCGAUGGAAUUUGUCACAAUAAGAAAGGGGAUUUUGUUGGGGCUCGUGGGAUGUUUAGGAAAGAGCCAGAGAGUGGUGCAAGCUGUGGGCUGUGCUGAGAAGCCUGGGCUACAGGAGGGCAGGCGCUGGAGUGUUGGCAGGGUCGGCACAGUGGCUCAUCUGGACAGUCCACAGCUGAUCCAGCCCACACUGUGUCAGACACUUUGCUGGGAGUAGGGGAUGUGGCUGUGGGUACGAUUGACAAGGUCUGUGUCCUGAGGAGCCUCCAGAUCAGAUGAGAUGGACAUGUGGUCAGUGACGGUACCAUGUCAGGUGGAAGAGACAAUAGGCUGAGCUGCCCAGAUCAUCACCUGACCAGCUUGGGUGGUGGCAGGUCCAGGAAGGCUUCCUGGAAGAAGUGAAUUCAUUCAGCACACGUUCAUCAGAGCCAGCGAUGCUUAGGCACUGAGAGUGCUGUCAGGGAUACAGGAGAGAAUGGGAGAGUCCCUGAGUCAUUCCAGACUCUGGGGUUGAAGUGUCUGCUGAUGGAGGCACGGGAGGGGCACAGCAGGUUCCCAUGUGAGCAGGGAGCUGUGCAAUAUGGCAGGUGGCAGCGCCAGGUGGAGGUGUCUCUACCUGUCUCCAGACCCCACUCCCCACCCAGGUAUGGAAUUGUUAUCUCCAGCUGACAGAGAAGGACACUGACGUGGGGGUUUCACCUCUCAGGAAUGGGUAGGCCGGGAUUUGAACCCAGGUCUGCAGACACCAAAUCUAUCCCUCACUCAGGCCUGCACUGACCUCUGUGCUCCUCUGGGGCUCCAGGCAGCUGCCUGGGUGGGUGCUGUGUCUGGGGUCUUUCCUGGUGUUCCUUAGGCCCCUCGCCCACCACCUUCCUUCAUUAUUCACUUGGAUGCCUUGAUGGUCUGGGCUGGAAUCCCCCCAAGCUGACCCACCAUGCGGCUCAUCUUCCUUUUCCUUCCAGUGCUUGGUGAGCUUGCCAGUGAGGUUGAACUGUUGCUUGAUUUUUCUGUGACCCAGAUGAAGAACUGGGUAAUCAUUUGCUCAAUAAGGUGAGAAACCCCAUGUUCCGGUUAAAGUGGGGGCACUGAGGACCAGCGAGGGGAAGGCAGUACUUGUAUUUGUCAGCCUGGAGGAGGUGCCAGAUACCAGCCAGAGCACCCCAACCUUUAUCUUGACCACUACCUGCAGUUGAUGCUGAACCUCCCACUCCACCCCAUAGAUGAGAGGAUUGAAGCCCAGAGAGGCCAGGCUUCUUGCCCAGGGCUGCACAGCCAGCAGGGAUGCUGGGAUUGGGAUUUGGCCCCAGCCUUGUCUGCCUCCAAAGCCAAUGCUAUUUCCACCAUACCCAGUGUCUCCCAGAGCUAAUUUUGCGGCUGGAACUCCAACCCGCAAAGCUAUCUAGGACAGGCAACUCGAUGAAAGAGAAUUAGGAGGGAAUCCUAGAAAAAUGGGGCUCGGCAGCUCCCGGGGAAGCCUGGAGAGGAGGUGGCACUGAAGCCUCUGCCAGCAGAUUGGGGCGGGGCUGUUUUCAGUCCUCUCUGGCGAGGCGUUUCGAAGCCUCCUCCGGGAGCCCUGUGCCUCCGUCCAGGACUGGCUGUUUCUCUGAAAAUCAUACCCCCAGCAGUGUUUGGCUUCGGGUGAAAGGAGAAGAGAAGAUUCUGGCCACUCAGAGCAGACCCUUGUGGGGGAUGGAACCUAUUUUCCAAAACUCUUGGGGCAGGGACCAGGGUGGCCGGCAGGGGCCCGUGGGCUGCCUGGGGGACCUGGUGCUCAGGGACUUAGAGAUUUGUUUUCCUGCUGAAUAUAUUGCUUUCUCGUGCCUGCUUUGUGCAACGACGUGAGGAUGUGGGGGUGAGGAUGGCCGACAGGACAUGGGAGUCCCUCUCGACAGGGGCUGGGCGGUGGCGGGGGUCCACGUGUCUCACAUCAGCAUAACUCUGUGUUUUCUCUCCUCUCCAGCACGUAUUUAGUGGAAAUAAACUCAUUUUAUUAUUAAAAAUUAAAGUCAUGUAUUCAUAGAGUAAACAAGACUGAGGGCACGCAGAGGUGCGCUGUGAAAGUACAGCUCUCUCUGAAUGGGCACUUAGAGACAUGCCUGUUCUCUGCAGCUACUGCAGGGGUCUCAUCUCGUUGGGACGGAGCACGGUUCAUUCAUCCAGUUGCCUGUUGAUCGACAUCAGGUUGUGUCUAGUUUUGUUUUUUUUCCCCUGCUUUGCAUGGUGCUGCAAAUUCACGGCUGUGACAGUGUCUAUGAGGGUAGAUCCCACCAGUGGGCCUUGGAGGGUCAGAGGGUGGGGCCUUGUACGUGGAAUUGGUGUGGUUGGGUGUGUGGUGCCUGCACAGGGCUAUGUAUUUUUAGCCCUCCCGGAGCCUUUCCUUCUGACACGGUCUGGAGGCCUCCUCUGUGCCUGGCCACUGUGCAGCUACUGAGCUGAGCAUCACCCAGGGCUUGCCUAAACCUGGCCUGGAUCCUGAAUGCUGCUCCACGGCAUGGAGGUUGGCUGGUUGAGUACUAAGGCCACAUAAGCAGGGGCACUGCCUCCACCUGCUGAGGUCAGCCCCCGCCCGGAGUUCAGCAGGACCUCCAUGAGCCUUCAGUGUCCCUGGGCUUCUGUGGCCCCACCUCCCUGGGUAGUCAGAAGGGUUAGGAGGGCGGGGCUGGCCCUGAGGACUCCAGCGUGUGGCAGCAAUGGGAGAGAGGAAACGGCCCAGAGAGGGAGGGAGAGAAGGACGAUCCAGAUGGUGGUGGUCUCCUCAUCCCUCAGCCAGUGAUGCAGCGUGGUCUUGAUGGGCUGACCUCGAGGGUCCACCUGGGAGCUGCUUGGAACUCUCUGGAGGUGGGGCCUGCCCUGGUGGGGGCAGGAAGGUCCCAGAGCAGCUUGUUAAGUGGGGUGAGGACAAGUGUCAGGAGACCUGGGCCUGGAUCCCGCUCCGCCACCCCUCUCCAUGUGACGUCUCGGUACCUCAGUGUACCCAUCAGUGAAGCAGGGAUGAAACAGUUCUUAAAUCCUGCAGCAUGGUGGGAGCCACCUGAGGAAACGAUGCAAAGGGCUUUGACUGAGUCUGGCACAGAGAAUGCACCCAAUGAAUGACUCUGCUGACAAUCUUUCUUCUCACCCUGGGUGGUCUCUGGAAGCCCCUCUGUGCGAGGUCUUAUCAUUUGUCAGCUGUGCAUCCCCCACCUGAGUGCAGCUCCCACGGGGUGUGUGCAGGAGCCUCUGUUCCUCCUG
Molecule: non-coding RNA, 7216 nt
Organism: Chlorocebus sabaeus (green monkey)
Lineage: Eukaryota; Metazoa; Chordata; Mammalia; Primates; Cercopithecidae
Source: RefSeq, a predicted model, not a curated record